This 253-nucleotide ribosomal RNA is filed under the name uncultured bacterium. Its description in RNAcentral is "partial 16S ribosomal RNA". It matches the Rfam family "Bacterial small subunit ribosomal RNA", at positions 524 to 776 of the family's 1533-position model. The record is from RNAcentral.
UACGUAGGGUGCAAGCGUUAAUCGGAAUUACUGGGCGUAAAGCGUGCGCAGGCGGCUUUGCAAGACAGAUGUGAAAUCCCCGGGCUCAACCUGGGAACUGCAUUUGUGACUGCAAAGCUAGAGUACGGCAGAGGGGGAUGGAAUUCCGCGUGUAGCAGUGAAAUGCGUAGAUAUGCGGAGGAACACCGAUGGCGAAGGCAAUCCCCUGGGCCUGCACUGACGCUCAUGCACGAAAGCGUGGGGAGCAAACAGG